AUAUCAUGGUGUGGACAUUUUCUCAGUAGAUCAUUAUACCUUUCCCAUGAAUCAUGGAGUUGUUCACCCAGGAUUUGGGAGAAUGCCGUGAUCUCUCUUCUCAUUU
Cornus florida is the source of this 106-nucleotide small nucleolar RNA. Lineage: Eukaryota; Viridiplantae; Streptophyta; Magnoliopsida; Cornales; Cornaceae. The record is from RefSeq and is a predicted model, not a curated record.